UUGAUAACAGGGUGUUCCCAGAAAGUAAAUAAAUGCAGGUAGCAGAUACUGAGGGAAUAACCACAAGUAAUAGCAGCAAUAAGAGGUAAUCAAAAGGCAACUAGAUGUAGUAAAAAGGAGUCAUACAGCAGCAAAUAGAGCUUAGUACGAUACAGUAAACAAACACGGCAAUACUAUGGGAGUGAAAAUCCUCACGAUGGAUUACAAUUUAAGCAUGCUAUAGCAACUAAUCAAGAGCAGCUGGGAGGGCAUGUAGCCAGGACGGCUGACCACAGCGUGCGGUGUGCUCAGCAGUAAAUGCUGGGGUAAAGACAGAGAUGGGGCGGAGGGGAACUGGACUCCUUUUUUUUACUUUGCUUGCGCGUGCUGCUUUUGCUGUACCUUUUAAGCUGUCUUGACCUCAACACGUGACUUUUCUUGCUUCUGCCUUUCUGAUUCUCUUCCCCCACCCUGCUCUUGAAGGGGAAGUGAGCAAGGGUCUGCCUGGGACUCAGGGCCAUCUGUGGGGGCUAACCCACAACCUUUUGAUAAAUGCUCAUAUUUUCUGUUACUUCAUAAUUUUGAAAAUGUUUUAAUGAAACCAUGCUUAGGAGUACGCUUUAAAGUCUCAGAGAUGUUUGUGCUGUGAGGAAAAAAGUCGCACCGAGUUCUUAAACACCUUCAGAAAGGACCGUGACUUUCCUAGAGUCAGCUCAGGUGGCAGUCACCGGCAAAACAGAGCACACUGGCAGCUUGGCCCUUGGAUGCAAAGUGCAAGGUGUUUCCUAAGUGUAUACUCCUUUCUGAGGGGUGUUUUAUUGUGUGCUGUCUAGCAUCAGUUUUAUCAAUUUGCCUCUAAUGGGUUUUGGUAUUCCCAAAAGGACUGGGAUUAAAGAAUGGGUGUGUGCCUCAGCACUGCAUAAUUUUAUUUUGCAGCCAAAAUUUCUUGUUUUGUGGUUAAGUUUUCUGGUAGCUUGUAUUUUGCAGAAAGCACUUAAAAAUGUAUUUAGGUUGCUUCCAAACAAGUAAAGAGAAAGUCCUUUUACCUUCAGGGUAGGGCUAAUUUUCCCUUAGGCCAAAAAACAUAGGAAGAUACCACCUGCUACAACCUUUGGUAAGAGAGGACCAAGCAUACCCGGACCUUCUUAAACAAACAAACCAAAAAAACACCACUUAAAAAAAAGGCAACAAAGAGGCAACUUCUGCCCGAAGUGGUGUAAACGCAUAAAGCUGUCAGUGGUUUUUUUUUGUUGUUUUUUUGUUUUUUUUUUUUUAGCUCGCACAUUAGCGCUGCUCCGGGAAGCCGUGCCUGUCGCUCUGCUUCUGCGGAUGCGCGGAGCCGGCCGGCUCGCCUCAAGAGGGGGAGCCGGGCGGCGCCGCAGGACCCUUGCCCGCGGCAGAAUGGCGGCGGCAUUCUCCGGAGCAGGAGCCGCGCCGGGCCGGGCUCGGGUCGGGCCGGGCCGGGAAGCGCGGUCCGCGGCUUCUGCGGAAAUGGCCCUUGUGCGGGGCAGAGGCGGCGCCGCGCCGGAGCUGGUCCGGACCGGGCGUUCGGGGGCGGUCUUCACUGCGCGGGGCUUCGGGCGGCUGGGGGAGAGGGGGGCGGAGCGGCGGGAGGUGGUGGCGGGGCGGGGAAGAGCGGCGGAGUCCUCUCUGGGUUGGAUGGACUGCUCCGUCCCGGGGCAUGCUGGGAGCUGUAGUUCUGUGGUGCCGGGCGGCCAUGUGGGCUCCGGGGUGCGUGGCCGGUCUUUCCCCGAGCCGGGGCCGGGCCGUGCGCGCCGGGAGGCGCAGGUUGCCGCUGGCUGCGAGCGCGGUUGUCGGCGGUGAGGCGAGCGAGAGCCUUCGGGGGUGCCUCCCCGGAGCGUCGGGCCGGGAGGGGUGGGGGGUGCGGCGGCCGGGCGCGGGUCCUUGCUGCACUUGAUCGUUGGGCUGCGCCUCGGAGGUUUUCCUUCUUGGAGCUGGUAAGCGCAAAGGAAAGCCGCGUAGUGCCUGCCAAGCUGUAGUAGCUUCCUAGAACUAAAAUGAAUUGGCCUGUCAAACUCUGUCUCUUUGUUGCUCAGUCUUUGGUACGAGAGGCUAAGUUUUGUCCCACCUCAGCUUUCAGAGUUGUCCUAGAAAUAAACCGGUGCUUGCAGGGCUUUCCAGAACGCUGGUUGUGGUCGGUCAAGAAAGACGUGAGAGGCAAUUUCUUUCUGUUUGUCUGUCUAUUGAUUAUGUCCCAAGAGUUUUGCUUGAACUGUGUGCAAUAAAAGAGGCCUCGGGCCCGUACUGAGCAGCAAGAGAAAGCAAAACUCCGGGUAAGCACUGGCCGUGGCAAAGUUGCUUGGGAAUUGAGCGGCUGGGGGUCUUUCCAGCGGAACUCGGUACGCAGACAGAAACGUGACCUUCGAGGUCCCUGUCUGUCUUGCGUUGAAGCUGUGGUAUUUGACCCAUAACUGUAUGGAGUUGCUAAAUCCUAGAGGGGAUGAUAGAGACGUCCCUGUUUCAGCCUUUUUUGCCACAGUCCUUGCAGAAAUUUUGGAAAAAAGACUUACUUCAGCGUCAAAUAAACCCCGUGCGAAGCGUCCCCGACUCAUGCCAGUGGGACCAUCCUGUUGUGGCUGGUAAAAUCCAGGAACAGGAUGAUGCUUGGAAGAACGUAACCUAUGGAGGAGCAGGCAACAGGUUUUCGAGACUGGUUUCCCUACCCCCCUGUGCAUUUUGAAGGAGGCAGUCCCUAAGCUGAUGCAAUCCAACUGCAUCUAAGCUGUAGGUUGUUACUUCCAUAAGCUGUAAAGGAACUUAAUGUGUUUUUUUUUCGUUGUUUUUUUUUUUGUUUUGUUUUGUUUUAAAUCGAGGCUUGUGUGUGUGUGUUUGGCUUGUCCCGAUGGCUGGUGUAGAUGAUCACUCACGUGCCCUUGUGCUGAUGUUGGAUCUGCCCCUCGGUAAAGGACCGCAUCCUGUGUGUUCAGCUUUUCUUCCUUACCGUGUCGUAUGUAUGUAUUUAUUUAUUUACUUUUCUGAAAGAAAGGGUGGAUUUUUCAUGGGUCUCUCUGUGAGCGUAUCGAACCAGGCCGCAGUAAAUAUGCAUAAGCGAGUAGGCUGCAGCGCGUACUGGACAGUAUCAGAGUGCUACUCUGCUAGCAGUGGAGAGCCAGGUGAAGGUGUCCAGGGUAAGGGCCUGUUCUGUCUCAAGUUGAACGGAAAGUUUCUGAAGGUGAGCAUUCCGGGGGAUGUUUGUAGGACUGUUGUUAGACGAUAAAAGUUCAGAUGGCGGUCGACGAAGGGGAUUUUGUUGGCUCUUUUAGAUAGCUAUUCCUACCGAAGGUCGCAUCGGUUACAAAAGGUAGUAGUAACCUUGCAGUCUCUACGUUCUGUAGCGUCUGUAGCAAAAUAAACUGGCAGAUGAAUAAAUGAGCAGGUACAAAUACAUGUGGCUCUAUAGCUGAGAUUAAAUAAUGUGCAGUUUCUUCUGUGUUUUGUCUUUCAAAGCACGUUGUUGCCGAGCGCCUGAGCUUUUUGCAUGCGUUACUGAGGAAAGGAAUGGCUGCGCUUCUUCCCCCCUUAUCCCUCUCUUUUUUUUUUUCUCUCCUCUUCUCCCUUGAUGACAGGGACUCGAAAUGUUUUCCUCAGAUGUCCACGUGAAAAUUUAAAAAAAAAAAAAAAAAAAAAAAAGGUGACGGUGAACACUGACAGAAUUGGGUGACUUUUUCAAGGUAGAAGGCAAGGA
This is a long non-coding RNA of Cygnus olor (mute swan), 3685 nucleotides long. RefSeq lists it as uncharacterized. Lineage: Eukaryota; Metazoa; Chordata; Aves; Anseriformes; Anatidae. The record is from RefSeq and is a predicted model, not a curated record. The transcript has 2 exons.